CCUACGGGAGGCAGCAGUGGGGAAUUUUGGACAAUGGGCGCAAGCCUGAUCCAGCAAUGCCGCGUGAGUGAAGAAGGCCUUCGGGUUGUAAAGCUCUUUUGUCAGGGAAGAAACGGUCUACUCUAAUACAGUGGGCUAAUGACGGUACCUGAAGAAUAAGCACCGGCUAACUACGUGCCAGCAGCCGCGGUAAUACGUAGGGUGCAAGCGUUAAUCGGAAUUACUGGGCGUAAAGCGUGCGCAGGCGGUUAUAUAAGUCAGAUGUGAAAUCCCCGGGCUCAACCUGGGAACUGCAUUUGAGACUGUAUGGCUAGAGUGUGUCAGAGGGGGGUAGAAUUCCACGUGUAGCAGUGAAAUGCGUAGAUAUGUGGAGGAAUACCGAUGGCGAAGGCAGCCCCCUGGGAUAACACUGACGCUCAUGCACGAAAGCGUGGGGAGCAAACAGGAUUAGAUACCCUGGUAGUCCACGCCCUAAACGAUGUCUACUAGUUGUCGGGACUUAAUUGUCUUGGUAACGCAGCUAACGCGUGAAGUAGACCGCCUGGGGAGUACGGUCGCAAGNUUAAAACNCAAAUGAAUUGACGG
Molecule: ribosomal RNA, 585 nt
Filed under: uncultured bacterium
Lineage: Bacteria
Description: bacterial SSU rRNA
Rfam family: Bacterial small subunit ribosomal RNA
Source: RNAcentral